Molecule: ribosomal RNA, 162 nt
Filed under: uncultured bacterium
Lineage: Bacteria
Description: partial 16S ribosomal RNA
Rfam family: Bacterial small subunit ribosomal RNA
Source: RNAcentral
UAAUGGCAGGUCAGCAUACUGCCGUGAAUACGUUCCCGGGCCCUUGUACACACCGCCCGUCACACCAUGAGAGUUGGGGAUACCCGAAGCCUGUGAGCUAACUUUUAGAGGCAGCAGUCGAAGGUAGAAUCAAUGAUUGGGGUGAAGUCGUAACAAGGUAUC